GACGAACGCUGGCGGCGUGCUUAACACAUGCAAGUCGAACGGAAAGGCCCUGCUUUUGUGGGGUGCUCGAGUGGCGAACGGGUGAGUAACACGUGAGUAACCUGCCCUUGACUUUGGGAUAACUUCAGGAAACUGGGGCUAAUACCGGAUAGGAGCUCCUGCUGCAUGGUGGGGGUUGGAAAGUUUCGGCGGUUGGGGAUGGACUCGCGGCUUAUCAGCUUGUUGGUGGGGUAGUGGCUUACCAAGGCUUUGACGGGUAGCCGGCCUGAGAGGGUGACCGGCCACAUUGGGACUGAGAUACGGCCCAGACUCCUACGGGAGGCAGCAGUGGGGAAUAUUGCACAAUGGGCGGAAGCCUGAUGCAGCAACGCCGCGUGCGGGAUGACGGCCUUCGGGUUGUAAACCGCUUUCGCCUGUGACGAAGCGUGAGUGACGGUAAUGGGUAAAGAAGCACCGGCUAACUACGUGCCAGCAGCCGCGGUGAUACGUAGGGUGCGAGCGUUGUCCGGAUUUAUUGGGCGUAAAGGGCUCGUAGGUGGUUGAUCGCGUCGGAAGUGUAAUCUUGGGGCUUAACCCUGAGCGUGCUUUCGAUACGGGUUGACUUGAAGAAAGGUAGGGGAGAAUGGAAUCCUGGUGGAGCGGUGGAAUGCGCAGAUAUCAGGAGGAACACCAGUGGCGAAGGCGGUUCUCUGGGCCUUUCCUGACGCUGAGGAGCGAAAGCGUGGGGAGCGAACAGGCUUAGAUACCCUGGUAGUCCACGCUGUAAACGGUGGGUACUAGGUGUGGGGUCCAUUCCACGGGUUCCGUGCCGUAGCUAACGCUUUAAGUACCCCGCCUGGGGAGUACGGCCGCAAGGCUAAAACUCAAAGGAAUUGACGGGGCCCCGCACAAGCGGCGGAGCAUGCGGAUUAAUUCGAUGCAACGCGUAGAACCUUACCUGGGUUUGACAUGGAUCGGGAGCGCUCAGAGAUGGGUGUGCCUCUUUUGGGGUCGGUUCACAGGUGGUGCAUGGCUGUCGUCAGCUCGUGUCGUGAGAUGUUGGGUUAAGUCCCGCAACGAGCGCAACCCUUGUUCACUGUUGCCAGCACGUUAUGGUGGGGACUCAGUGGAGACCGCCGGGGUCAACUCGGAGGAAGGUGGGGAUGACGUCAAGUCAUCAUGCCCCUUAUGUCCAGGGCUUCACGCAUGCUACAAUGGCUGGUACAGAGAGUGGCGAGCCUGUGAGGGUGAGCGAAUCUCGGAAAGCCGGUCUCAGUUCGGAUUGGGGUCUGCAACUCGACCUCAUGAAGUCGGAGUCGCUAGUAAUCGCAGAUCAGCAACGCUGCGGUGAAUACGUUCCCGGGGCU
Molecule: ribosomal RNA, 1346 nt
Filed under: uncultured bacterium
Lineage: Bacteria
Description: bacterial SSU rRNA
Rfam family: Bacterial small subunit ribosomal RNA
Source: RNAcentral